UAACAUAUGCUUGUCUAAAAGAUUUAAGCCAUGCAUGUCUAAGUAUAAACGACAUUAUAUAGUGAAACUGCGGACGGCUCAUUAUAUCAGUUAUAGUUUACUUGAUGGUCCAGUCUAUUUAGUGUUUCUGUCAAAGGAAAUAUGGAGUAGAUUUAUUGGAUAACUGUUGGAAUUCUAGAGCUAAUACAUUACGCAAACGCCCACCUUUACAAGGACGGGCCGGGUUAAUCCGCACCAUUUGGUGAGUCAGGACUAACGAACGGAUCGCACGCAGCAAUGCAGCGACACAUCACUCAAGUUUCUGCCCUAUCAGCUUUCGACGGUACAGUCUUGGUCUACCGUGGCGAUGACGGGUGACGGAGAAUCAGGGUUUGAUUCCGGAGAAGGGGCCUGAGAAAUGGCCACUACUUCUAAGGAAGGCAGCAGGCGCGCAAAUUACCCAAUCUCAGUUCGAGGAGGUAGUGACGAUAAAUAACGAUGCCAGUCCCGCAAGGGGCCGGCAAUCGGAAUGAGGGUGAUCCAAAUCCCCUACCGAGAAGCCAUU
This 544-nucleotide ribosomal RNA is filed under the name uncultured eukaryote. RNAcentral describes it as "bacterial SSU rRNA". It matches the Rfam family "Eukaryotic small subunit ribosomal RNA", at positions 25 to 549 of the family's 1831-position model. The record is from RNAcentral.